UGUAGGGUGCAAGCGUUAAUCGGAAUUACUGGGCGUAAAGCGUGCGCAGGCGGUGAUGUAAGACAGAUGUGAAAUCCCCGGGCUCAACCUGGGAACUGCAUUUGUGACUGCAUCGCUGGAGUGCGGCAGAGGGGGAUGGAAUUCCGCGUGUAGCAGUGAAAUGCGUAGAUAUGCGGAGGAACACCGAUGGCGAAGGCAAUCCCCUGGGCCUGCACUGACGCUCAUGCACGAAAGCGUGGGGAGCAAACAGGAUUAGAUACCCUGGUAGUCCACGCCCUAAACGAUGUCAACUGGUUGUUGGGUCUUCACUGACUCAGUAACGAAGCUAACGCGUGAAGUUGACCGCCUGGGGAGUACGGCCGCAAGGUUG
Molecule: ribosomal RNA, 370 nt
Filed under: uncultured organism
Description: bacterial SSU rRNA
Rfam family: Bacterial small subunit ribosomal RNA
Source: RNAcentral